Lutra lutra (Eurasian river otter) is the source of this 1025-nucleotide long non-coding RNA. RefSeq lists it as uncharacterized. NCBI's taxonomy places the organism in Eukaryota, Metazoa, Chordata, Mammalia, Carnivora, Mustelidae. The transcript has 6 exons. The record is from RefSeq and is a predicted model, not a curated record.
GGUGACCAUCCACAGGAACAUCUUCUCGUAGACGGCCUUGGCUAGAGCGCCCACGGCGUUGUACACCUUUGUGGACAGAGUAGUGAUUGUUGGCGCUACUGAAGGCAUGUUGUGAAGGCCUGGGACGGCUUAAAAACAAGUGCAGCAAAACAAACCAAACCCAGAAAAGAACCAAACCCUCUCAGUUUCCCAAACCCUAUGGAACAACAGGAAACUCCGGAAUUUGGAGUAUUUCCAAAGGCAGUACAUUUGGAAAAUGCUUCAGAAUCAUUGGGAGGAAAGUGGUAGAUCUUUCUACCCCAAAGGCUCACACUAUUUGCUGUGUCGUUUAACCAUGGAGAGAGAUAGACAGAAUAGAGAUAUGCUGAAGGGCACUCACGUAGAUCAUCCAGGCUGCGUAACGCUCUUUGAGGUUGUACAGCACUCCAGGCUCGUGCAGGAUUUUUCCAGGGUGUUUAAAAAGAUACCCAUAAGAUGUCUAAGGGUUAGUGCUUUGCAGGAGGUCUGUCAGAAUUCAUUCUGUCCCAAAUGGUCCUUCAACCCUGGAACUCAGGCGAGGGGAGAGUGGAGGAGAAGGCGUCCUGGAGCCGCAUUUUCCUAGCAUGCACAAGCAGUCAUUUGGAAGCCCCAGCUGCUCAGGAGGCCUGCACUUCAUCCCCCUGGGUCACUUCCAAGGCUCACCGUUGGAGUCUGGCCUUGGGCAGCAGUGCCUAGGAGGGAGGAGAGUCUCCUCUGCGCCCCCACCAUUGGCCCAGUGCCCACCCCCUCAACACUGAAGAACAUUAGUUCAAUACAGAAUCAUAUGCCUUCAUUGCAGGAAAAAAUGCACAGUUAAGCAGAGAGAAAAAUUGUCUAUAGUCCCAGUAUGCACAGAUAAGAUAAAGAUGUCUAAGUGGCAUCAUGCUAUAUAUGUGAUUAUAGUACCUAUAUGUCCCGUAAUCUACCUAAAAAUGAUAUUGAAGGUAAUUUUCAUAUCAGUGAUAAAAUUGGCACCCUUUUAAAAUAGAGUAUUUUAUGAUUUUUUU